Mercenaria mercenaria is the source of this 388-nucleotide long non-coding RNA. RefSeq lists it as uncharacterized. The record is from RefSeq and is a predicted model, not a curated record. NCBI's taxonomy places the organism in Eukaryota, Metazoa, Mollusca, Bivalvia, Venerida, Veneridae. The transcript has 4 exons.
GGUGUUGUCCAGAUAUUAAAGAAAAUGGAGCUGCCAGAUGAAUGUACUUUCCAGAUGUAAACCAUCACAAAUGAUGCCGGUUUGUAUUUACCAGAUGUUUACCAAAUGAUCAAAUUUGAUUUGUAAUUCAAAACAAAUAUUCAAAUUGUGGCAAAAAGCAAGUGGAAAUGGAAUACUCAGUUGACGAAAAUGGUUAACAUGAUAACUUUUGCCUGUGAUAAGUGCAAAGAUCUAUACAGUACUGGUCUGCUCAGCUUGGUCAGUUCACAAAUAUUUUGUUAGAAAAUCAGCAAAUCCACCGACUUGAAUACAAGCCAUCGACUUGAAUUCAUUGGUUAUUUUCCAUGUACCAACAAUAUGGAAAUAAAAUUUGUUUAUAAAUUUGAAA